Molecule: ribosomal RNA, 253 nt
Filed under: uncultured bacterium
Lineage: Bacteria
Description: partial 16S ribosomal RNA
Rfam family: Bacterial small subunit ribosomal RNA
Source: RNAcentral
UACGUUGGGGGCAAGCGUUAUCCGGAUUUACUGGGUGUAAAGGGAGCGUAGACGGCCAGACAAGUCUGAAGUGAAAAUCCAGCGCUUAACGUUGGAAGUGCUUUGGAAACUGCCGGGCUAGAGUGCAGGAGGGGCAGGCGGAAUUCCUAGUGUAGCGGUGAAAUGCGUAGAUAUUAGGAGGAACACCAGUGGCGAAGGCGGCCUGCUGGACUGCAACUGACGUUGAGGCUCGAAGGCGUGGGGAGCAAACAGG